AAGCGCUACUUCUUGACAAUGCGCAUAAACAAUUGGGACCAAAGACUUUCAGAAUCCAAAUGAAAAGAUUGUUUUCCAAAAAUCAAGAUAGGCUAGCUAUCAUGAAUUAUGAGGAAAAAGAACCUACCAACCAACCAUUACCAACUGCACCAAUGACCAGCACUGCAAAAGCAAGCAAGCGCAAGGCUAUGGAGACUAGCUUCGAACGAAUCAGCAGAACCUGCCCACCAAAGACAGACCUUCCAGCACUAGAUAGAAAAUAGAAACCAAGACUCCUCUCAAAAGGGAGUGAAAGCUACUGGAAAUGUUUUGCCCACAAGUUUUUGGAGCACAUCUUUUUGCCAAUGCACUGUCAAGCUACUAUCUUUUUGCCACAAGACUGCCUUUUUGAAAAGCUAUAUUACAACCAUAUGUGACGCCCCAUGCUUUAAAAAGGUAUUUUGUCAACCAUGGCGUCGCACAACUACAACAUGCAUGAUUGGUACUAGGAAAAUACUUUUUCUAUAAAUAUGUGGUAUAAAUGAUGUAUAUAUGACAGAGCAAUCAUCAAUGUAAUAGACAAAUGUAUAUAUGCAUAAACAGUGCAAACUUAUUUUAGUUGUCUUAUACUAUCUUACCUCAUUACUUACGAUAAUCUUCUUACUAUUGGAUAUUUUAAAUCAUCCCUGAAUAUUGUGAAAGUGAACGAUUUUUACGUUGGUUUUGGGAAGAGCA
Lycium barbarum (goji berry) is the source of this 714-nucleotide long non-coding RNA. RefSeq lists it as uncharacterized. The record is from RefSeq and is a predicted model, not a curated record. The transcript is spliced from 3 exons. NCBI's taxonomy places the organism in Eukaryota, Viridiplantae, Streptophyta, Magnoliopsida, Solanales, Solanaceae.